This 455-nucleotide ribosomal RNA is filed under the name uncultured bacterium. Its description in RNAcentral is "bacterial SSU rRNA". It matches the Rfam family "Bacterial small subunit ribosomal RNA", at positions 340 to 786 of the family's 1533-position model. The record is from RNAcentral.
UACGGGAGGCAGCAGUGGGGAAUAUUGCACAAUGGGCGAAAGCCUGAUGCAGCUAUGCCGCGUGUAUGAAGAAGGCCUUAGGGUUGUAAAGUACUUUCAUCGGGGAGGAAAAAACAAAACUAAUAAUUUUAUUUCUUGACGUUACCCGAAAAAGAAGCACCGGCUAACUCCGUGCCAGCAGCCGCGGUAAUACGGAGGGUGCUAGCGUUAAUCAGAAUUACUGGGCGUAAAGAGCACGUAGGUGGUUUUUUUAAGUCAGAUGUGAAAUCCCUGGGCUUAACCUGGAACUGCACUUUGAAACUGAAAUACUAGAGUAUCGUAGAGGGAGGUAGAAUUCUAGGUGUAGCGGUGAAAUGCGUAGAUAUCUGGAGGAAUACCUGUGGCGAAAGCGGCCUCCUAAACGAAUACUGACACUGAGGUGCGAAAGCGUGGGGAGCAAACAGGGAUUAGAUACC